This 63-nucleotide transfer RNA is filed under the name Glypthelmins quieta. Its description in RNAcentral is "tRNA-Ala". Lineage: Eukaryota; Metazoa; Platyhelminthes; Trematoda; Plagiorchiida; Plagiorchiidae. The record is from RNAcentral.
AACGAUGUGGUUUAUGUUUAGAACGUUCCCUCUGCAAGGGAUUGGUGAAGGUUUCCAUUGUUG